Molecule: ribosomal RNA, 497 nt
Filed under: uncultured bacterium
Lineage: Bacteria
Description: partial 16S ribosomal RNA
Rfam family: Bacterial small subunit ribosomal RNA
Source: RNAcentral
GACGAACGCUGGCGGCGUGCCUAAUACAUGCAAGUUGAGCGAUGAAGAUUGGUGCUUGCACCAAUUUGAAGAGCAGCGAACGGGUGAGUAACGCGUGGGGAAUCUGCCUUUGAGCGGGGGACAACAUUUGGAAACGAAUGCUAAUACCGCAUAAUAACUUUAAACAUAAGUUUUAAGUUUGAAAGAUGCAAUUGCAUCACUCAAAGAUGAUCCCGCGUUGUAUUGGCUAGUUGGUGAGGUAAAGGCUCACCAAGGCGAUGAUACAUAGCCGACCUGAGAGGGUGAUCGGCCACAUUGGGACUGAGACACGGCCCAAACUCCUACGGGAGGCAGCAGUAGGGAAUCUUCGGCAAUGGACGAAAGUCUGACCGAGCAACGCCGCGUGAGUGAAGAAGGUUUUCGGAUCGUAAAACUCUGUUGGUAGGGAAGAACGUUGGUGAGAGUGGAAAGCUCAUCAAGUGACGGUAACUACCCAGAAAGGGACGGCUAACUACGUG